RNAcentral lists this transfer RNA (76 nucleotides) under Gordonia phage GodonK. RNAcentral's name for it is "tRNA-Asp". It matches the Rfam family "tRNA". From Rfam's summary of the family: Transfer RNA (tRNA) molecules are approximately 80 nucleotides in length. Their secondary structure includes four short double-helical elements and three loops (D, anti-codon, and T loops). The record is from RNAcentral. Lineage: Duplodnaviria; Heunggongvirae; Uroviricota; Caudoviricetes. RNAcentral also lists the same sequence under 1 other name.
GCUCCGGUAGCUUAGCUGGCCAAAAGCACUCGCCUGUCGAGCGAGGGAUCGCGGGUUCAAAUCCCGUUCGGAGCGC